UACGGAAGGGGCUAGCGUUGUUCGGAAUCACUGGGCGUAAAGCGCGCGUAGGCGGCCGGUCAAGUGCGGCGUGAAAGUCCUGGGCUCAACCCGGGGACGGCGCUGCGGACUGUCCGGCUGGAGUCCGGAAGAGGGUGGUGGAACUCCGAGUGUAGAGGUGAAAUUCGUAGAUAUUCGGAAGAACACCAGUGGCGAAGGCGACACACUGGCCCGUUACUGACGCUGAGGCGCGAAAGCGUGGGGAGCAAACAGG
This 253-nucleotide ribosomal RNA is filed under the name uncultured bacterium. RNAcentral describes it as "partial 16S ribosomal RNA". It matches the Rfam family "Bacterial small subunit ribosomal RNA", at positions 524 to 776 of the family's 1533-position model. The record is from RNAcentral.